UUGGUUGAUUCUGCCAGUAGUCAUAUGCUUGUCUCAAAGAUUAAGCCAUGCAUGUGUAAGUAUGAAUUAAUUCAGACCGUGAAACUAUGAAUGACUCAUUAAAUCCGUUAUAGUUUGUUUGAUGGUACCUGCUACUCGGAUAACCGUAGUAUUUCUAGAUCUAAUACGUGCAACAAAACUCGAUUUCUCGAAGGGAUGUAUUUAUUAGAUAAAAGGUCGAUGCGGGCUCCGCCUGUUACUGCGAUGAUUCAUGAUAACUCAAUGGAUUGCAUGGCCCUCGUGCCGGAGACGCAUCAUUCAAAUUUUCACCCUAUCAACUUUCAAUGGUGGGAUAGCAGCCUACUAUGGUAGUGAUGGGUGACGGAGAAUUAGGGUUUGAUUUUGGCGAGGGAGCCUGAAAAAUGGCUAUCACAUCCAAGGAAGGCAGCAGGUGUGCACCGAUCAUCUCAUCCCUUCUGUUGACGAUGCGCUCUUGGCCUUAACUGGUCAGGUCGUGCCUCCAGUGCUAUUACUUUGAAGAAAUUAGAGUGCUCAAAGCAAGCCUACGCUCUGGAUACAUUAGCAUUGGAUAACAUUAUAGGAUUUCUAUCCUAUUACGUUGGCCUUUGGGAUCGGAGUAAUGAUGAACAAGUACAAUCAGAGACAAUCAUAUUUCAUAGUCAGAGAUGAAAUUCUUGGAUUAUGAAACAUGAACAACUGCAGAAGCAUCUGCCAAGGAUAUUUUCAUUAAUUAAGAACGAAUUUUGGGGGCUCGAAGGCGAUCAUAUAUCAUCCUCAUCUCAACCAUAAAUGAUGCUGACUAGGGAUCGACAAAUGUUGCUUAUAGGACUCCAUUGGCACCUUAUGAGAAAUCAAAGUUUUUGGGUUUCA
This 870-nucleotide ribosomal RNA is filed under the name Olea europaea subsp. europaea. RNAcentral describes it as "Eukaryotic small subunit ribosomal RNA". It matches the Rfam family "Eukaryotic small subunit ribosomal RNA", at positions 4 to 1116 of the family's 1831-position model. Lineage: Eukaryota; Viridiplantae; Streptophyta; Magnoliopsida; Lamiales; Oleaceae. The record is from Rfam by way of RNAcentral.